RNAcentral lists this ribosomal RNA (465 nucleotides) under uncultured Desulfobulbus sp. RNAcentral's name for it is "bacterial SSU rRNA". It matches the Rfam family "Bacterial small subunit ribosomal RNA", at positions 923 to 1382 of the family's 1533-position model. The record is from RNAcentral. Lineage: Bacteria; Pseudomonadati; Thermodesulfobacteriota; Desulfobulbia; Desulfobulbales; Desulfobulbaceae.
GCGACAAGCGGUGGAGUAUGUGGUUUAAUUCGAUGCAACGCGAAGAACCUUACCUGGUCUUGACAUCCCGGAGACCCUUAGGAAACUAGGGGUGCUUCCAUCUGGAAGAAUCUGGAGACAGGUGCUGCAUGGCUGUCGUCAGCUCGUGUCGUGAGAUGUUGGGUUAAGUCCCGCAACGAGCGCAACCCUUGCCUUUAGUUGCCAGCAGUUCGGCUGGGCACUCUAAAGGGACUGCCGGUGUUAAACCGGAGGAAGGUGGGGAUGACGUCAAGUCCUCAUGGCCUUUAUGACCAGGGCUACACACGUACUACAAUGGCCGAUACAAAGGGCAGCGACACUGCGAGGUGAAGCCAAUCCCGUAAAAUCGGUCUCAGUCCGGAUUGGAGUCUGCAACUCGACUCCAUGAAGUUGGAAUCGCUAGUAAUCGUGGAUCAGCAUGCCACGGUGAAUACGUUCCCGGGCCUU